RNAcentral lists this ribosomal RNA (401 nucleotides) under uncultured bacterium. Its description in RNAcentral is "bacterial SSU rRNA". It matches the Rfam family "Bacterial small subunit ribosomal RNA", at positions 29 to 429 of the family's 1533-position model. The record is from RNAcentral.
AUUGAACGCUGGCGGAAUGCUUUACACAUGCAAGUCGAACGGCAGCACGGGAGCUUGCUCCUGGUGGCGAGUGGCGAACGGGUGAGUAAUAUAUCGGAACGUACCCCGUCGUGGGGGAUAACUCUCCGAAAGGAGUGCUAAUACCGCAUACGACCUGAGGGUGAAAGCGGGGGACCUGCAAGGGCCUCGCGCGAUGGGAGCGGCCGAUAUCGGAUUAGCUAGUUGGUGAGGUAAAGGCUCACCAAGGCGACGAUCCGUAGCGGGUCUGAGAGGACGACCCGCCACACUGGAACUGAGACACGGUCCAGACUCCUACGGGAGGCAGCAGUGGGGAAUUUUGGACAAUGGGGGAAACCCUGAUCCAGCCAUUCCGCGUGAGUGAAGAAGGCCUCGGUUGUAAG